This 736-nucleotide ribosomal RNA is filed under the name Iridonida speciosa. RNAcentral describes it as "SSU rRNA". It matches the Rfam family "Eukaryotic small subunit ribosomal RNA", at positions 592 to 1302 of the family's 1831-position model. Lineage: Eukaryota; Metazoa; Arthropoda; Malacostraca; Decapoda; Munididae. The record is from RNAcentral.
CAAUAGCAUAUAUUAAAGUUGUUGUGGUUAAAAAGCUCAUAGUUGGAUUACAGUUGUGGACUGAUGGUAUAUACACCUAUCGGUGCUUACUAUCACGCUCCUAAACGCGCUCGCUUUGUCGAGCCUCGCUAGCUCGCACGGGGUGCUCUUGAUCGAGUGUCCCGAGUGGCUGGUAUGUUUACUUUGAAAAAAUUAGAGUGCUCAGAGCAGGCUCCUAUUAUGGCCUGAAUGCUUAUGCAUGGAAUAAUGAAAUAAGACCUCGAUUCCAUUUUGUCUGGUUUUUAUGGAAUUGGAGGUAAUGACUAAUAGAGACAAACGGGGGCAUUUGUAUUGCGACGCUAGAGGUGAAAUUCUUGGACCGUCGCAAGACAAACAACUGCGAAAGCAUUUGCCAAGGAUGUUUUCAUUAAUCAAGAACGAAAGUUAGAGGUUCGAAGGCGAUCAGAUACCGCCCUAGUUCUAACCAUAAACGAUGCUGACCAGCAAUCCGCCGGCGUUAUUCCCAUGACCCGGCGGGCAGCUUCCGGGAAACCAAAGUCUUUGAGUUCCAGGGGAAGUAUGGUUGCAAAGCUGAAACUUAAAGGAAUUGACGGAAGGGCACCACCAGGAGUGGAGCCUGUGGCUUAAUUUGACUCAACACGGGAAACCUCACCAGGCCCAGACACUGGAAGGAUUGACAGAUUGAGAGCUCUUUCUCGAUUCAGUGGGUGGUGGUGCAUGGCCGUUCUUAGUUGGU